RNAcentral lists this long non-coding RNA (331 nucleotides) under Elaeis guineensis (African oil palm). Its description in RNAcentral is "long non-coding RNA (EGUI_LNC039615)". The record is from RNAcentral. Lineage: Eukaryota; Viridiplantae; Streptophyta; Magnoliopsida; Arecales; Arecaceae.
UCGUGAUCUCAUCAUCGACAUCAUCGAAACUCCUUUCGAUGGACCAGAACUCUUCUGAUUCAGACAAUUAGAAUGAUCGAUCAUCGAGAUCAUUCUAAUUGCUUCCAAAAUCCACCAGUGACACCUAGCAGUAUAUGGUGGCAACCCAUCAGAAAUGAAGAUGAACCUUUCGGUGCAGCUACCUGUGUGAUUGAGUUCCUCUAUCAUGAGUCCCGACUGAAUUAGGGUUAAGGUGAACUCGUCAAACCCAACAUCAGUCAUAUGAAUCAAUCGAUCGAUCCGAGUCCGAUGUGAAACCCCAAUGAAAAACUCUUUUCCAUUAUUUCACUCU